Long non-coding RNA from Magnolia sinica, 908 nucleotides. RefSeq lists it as uncharacterized. Lineage: Eukaryota; Viridiplantae; Streptophyta; Magnoliopsida; Magnoliales; Magnoliaceae. The transcript has 2 exons. The record is from RefSeq and is a predicted model, not a curated record.
UCCAUUUACUCUCAUCCCAAUGAGCCUUGAGGUUAAUGGUGUCAAAUGGUUAGAGAUAUACAUUAAUAAGUUGAGCUUCACAAAUUGCUUGAAUUUUGGGCCGGUUUAGGGCAUUCGAGCGGUUCACUCGAAUCUCAGCCCGAUUGAUAACUAAGGUCACAAAAAGGGUACAAGCUGGGAGGGAAUGCCCACCCUUGAAUUUCACAGGGCCCCACUUGAUUCACAAAACAACGAUCCUCCAUCUAGACCAGAUAAAAGGUUUGAAUGGCCUUUGAUUAUAUAUACACAACACGGUGGGCCCCCAAAACUAAUCAGCAGUGAACCUCCCUCUGAAUAUGUUCCCCGUGUUGUGGCCCAUUUGAGAUUUGGAUUGGGCUCAUUCUUGAGCUUUGGAGGUUUUUUGAGGUGAAGCGUCUUAUGGAUGGGUUGGAUUCCGUGAAAACAUCAUUGAGCCCCACAUCUGCCUGGUACCACUGGAGUGCUCUCCAUCUGUCAAUGCAUAACGAUGGUUUUUUCGCUCUAAUUGCAGCUAUGUUCCUUUCAAGUCCUGCUUGAAGGUAACGCAAUCGCAAUUGGAGCGAAGACCCUUAGAAUGAAUUCUCUAGAAGGAAAUCACAAUCUGGGAGAAGGACCGGGAUGCGACCCUGAAAAAUGGAAAGACCUCUUCAGAGCGGCCCAAAUCCAAUAGUUGGAUGCAAUACGGGUUUCUUCUCACUGGGGUUAAGGAGCCUGACUUCGAACCCUUGUACCAAUACUGUAUGUUCUCAAACACAUUCCUACCAGCGAUUGUCGCCUGUAUCAUCUCUAAAAUGAGAUGUAUAUGUAAGAGAAUUAUUCAAAAACUCCAAAAUGCUUUGUUGCAUAUGGAAGAUAGUAAAUGCAGUUGAAAUAGAUGUAGUUUUCUUGAA